This 650-nucleotide ribosomal RNA is filed under the name uncultured bacterium. RNAcentral's name for it is "bacterial SSU rRNA". It matches the Rfam family "Bacterial small subunit ribosomal RNA", at positions 57 to 702 of the family's 1533-position model. The record is from RNAcentral.
GCAAGUCGAGCGGUAACAGAGAGGUGCUUGCACCUUUGCUGACGAGCGGCGGACGGGUGAGUAAUGCUUGGGAACAUGCCUUGAGGUGGGGGACAACAGUUGGAAACGACUGCUAAUACCGCAUAAUGUCUACGGACCAAAGGGGGCUUCGGCUCUCGCCUUUAGAUUGGCCCAAGUGGGAUUAGCUAGUUGGUGAGGUAAUGGCUCACCAAGGCGACGAUCCCUAGCUGGUUUGAGAGGAUGAUCAGCCACACUGGGACUGAGACACGGCCCAGACUCCUACGGGAGGCAGCAGUGGGGAAUAUUGCACAAUGGGCGCAAGCCUGAUGCAGCCAUGCCGCGUGUGUGAAGAAGGCCUUCGGGUUGUAAAGCACUUUCAGUCAGGAGGAAAGGUUAGUAGUUAAUACCUGCUAGCUGUGACGUUACUGACAGAAGAAGCACCGGCUAACUCCGUGCCAGCAGCCGCGGUAAUACGGAGGGUGCGAGCGUUAAUCGGAAUUACUGGGCGUAAAGCGUACGCAGGCGGUUUGUUAAGCGAGAUGUGAAAGCCCCGGGCUCAACCUGGGAACUGCAUUUCGAACUGGCAAACUAGAGUGUGAUAGAGGGUGGUAGAAUUUCAGGUGUAGCGGUGAAAUGCGUAGAGAUCUGAA